RNAcentral lists this ribosomal RNA (208 nucleotides) under Dirofilaria immitis (dog heartworm nematode). RNAcentral describes it as "partial small subunit ribosomal RNA". Lineage: Eukaryota; Metazoa; Nematoda; Chromadorea; Rhabditida; Onchocercidae. The record is from RNAcentral.
UACGAUUUUUUUUGUUUUUUUGUUUUAUGUUUUUUUUUGUAAAAUAUUUAAAUUUAUUUAUGUUUUUUUGUAAUAUUGAAAAUUUGGUGUUUGAACUGGAUUAGUACCCAGGUAAUCAAAAUUUAUUAAUUCGGGAGUAAAGUUUUGUUUAAACCGAAAAAAUAUUGACUGACUUUAGAUUUUUCUUUGGAAUAUGUGUUUUUUUGGA